RNAcentral lists this microRNA (21 nucleotides) under Populus trichocarpa (black cottonwood). Lineage: Eukaryota; Viridiplantae; Streptophyta; Magnoliopsida; Malpighiales; Salicaceae. The record is from RNAcentral.
AAGCCAAGGAUGACUUGCCUG